UUCACUUCAUGGACUUCCCUAUGAUCGUGAC
Molecule: non-coding RNA, 31 nt
Filed under: Mus musculus (house mouse)
Lineage: Eukaryota; Metazoa; Chordata; Mammalia; Rodentia; Muridae
Source: RNAcentral